GAAGAAGAGGAGACGGAUUUAUGGGGCGAUCAGCAGUAUGCACUCAGAGAAAGAAAUCCCUCCGAGAGAUGUCCCCGUCCUCUGUAUUCCCAGGACUGUCCAGAGGAGAAGCUCCCAGAGAACCAUCAGAUGACAAAUCA
Long non-coding RNA from Bufo bufo (common toad), 140 nucleotides. RefSeq lists it as uncharacterized. The record is from RefSeq and is a predicted model, not a curated record. Lineage: Eukaryota; Metazoa; Chordata; Amphibia; Anura; Bufonidae. The transcript is spliced from 3 exons.